GACGAACGCUGGCGGCGUGCUUAACACAUGCAAGUCGAACGGAAAGGCCCUGCUUUUGUGGGGUGCUCGAGUGGCGAACGGGUGAGUAACACGUGAGUAACCUGCCCUUGACUUUGGGAUAACUUCAGGAAACUGGGGCUAAUACCGGAUAGGAGCUCCUGCUGCAUGGUGGGGGUUGGAAAGUUUCGGCGGUUGGGGAUGGACUCGCGGCUUAUCAGCUUGUUGGUGGGGUAGUGGCUUACCAAGGCUUUGACGGGUAGCCGGCCUGAGAGGGUGACCGGCCACAUUGGGACUGAGAUACGGCCCAGACUCCUGCGGGAGGCAGCAGUGGGGAAUAGUGCACAAUGGGCGGAAGCCUGAUGCAGCAACGCCGCGUGCGGGAUGACGGCCUUCGGGUUGUAAACCGCUUUCGCCUGUGACGAAGCGUGAGUGACGGUAAUGGGUAAAGAAGCACCGGCUAACUACGUG
This 468-nucleotide ribosomal RNA is filed under the name uncultured bacterium. RNAcentral's name for it is "partial 16S ribosomal RNA". It matches the Rfam family "Bacterial small subunit ribosomal RNA", at positions 28 to 507 of the family's 1533-position model. The record is from RNAcentral.